CUCGUUAUUGCAAAAUAAUGAACUUAAUAUAUCUGACAUUUUCUCCCUACCCAGUUUACCCCUAUACAUUUUUAUGAUGUGGACUGGUCAUUGUUAUUGAAUCGUAGGCAAUUUGAUUGGAUUAAGUUGUUAUUAGUUUACCUUCAAACCUGUUUAUGCUUUUCAUACAUGACUAUUGAUUAAUCAGAACGUGCAUGAAUGUGACCGGUAACUGAAAUGACCUUCAAACUGGACACUGGACGAGUCAAUAUUAUGUUUUAUCAAUGAAAGUUAAGGUAUGAAAGGUAAGAAUUGCCACUUAUUCGAUUUUCACAAAAUUUUCGGAAUAUACAGUUGGAAAGGUUAUUUUUUAAAAGCCUAUUG
Molecule: long non-coding RNA, 363 nt
Filed under: Mytilus galloprovincialis (Mediterranean mussel)
Lineage: Eukaryota; Metazoa; Mollusca; Bivalvia; Mytilida; Mytilidae
Source: RNAcentral